RNAcentral lists this long non-coding RNA (423 nucleotides) under Panax ginseng (ginseng). Its description in RNAcentral is "long non-coding RNA (PGIN_LNC002743)". The record is from RNAcentral. Lineage: Eukaryota; Viridiplantae; Streptophyta; Magnoliopsida; Apiales; Araliaceae.
UUGAUUUCAUUUCAGAUUCUAACUCCCAAGUCAUUUCCUCAACAUCGUGGUUUCUCCACAAAACUUUGACUUGAGGUAUAACCUUGGAGCGUAGAAUAUGUUCCUUCUUAUCCAAGAUUUGAACAUGAACCUCUUCAUACGUCAAAUCUUCCGCUAUUUCGUCCGGUUCUAACUCAAUAAUGUGGUUCGGGUCUUCCACAUAUUUACGUAACAUGGAUAUGUGAAAAACGUUAUGAACACGAGACAUACUUGGCGGUAAAGCGAGUCUAUAGGCCACAGUUCCUACUCGAUCGAGGAUUAAAAAUGGGCCGAUGAAUCGAGGAUUGAGCUUUCCUCUCUUUCCAAAUCUCGUAACUCCUUUCCAUGGAGCAACACGUAACAACACAUGAUCUCCUAUAUCAAAUUCCACGUCCUUUCGAUGAA